AGCCUUAUAAUGCAGACGUGAAGGAUACUCACCUUUUCGAGCUCGAGGAGGUGAAACCGGAGGACCUGAAUCGCUUGAACCAUCUGAAAUGAGAAAAAAAGAAUUGAAUAAAAUACAUUCGCCGAACGCAAAGGCAGAAAAAAGAUAUUGGAUGGUAAGAGAGGCUGGUUCGAAGAGGAAAAGAAAUGACGAAGGAAAGGCUGUAGGGAUCGGGGAAGACGAUAGAGGGUAGAAGGAACUUGAAGCAGACAUGAUUUAACCAUACGCUGCUGCAUCGUCAACGGUAACUCGGCAACAGAUCGACGGUCACAGUUUCUCCAGCGCGGAUUCAACCUUUAUUUUUUAUUUGCACGCUCAUGUUUUCAUUUAUCUCUUCCGUCGUGAUAUCACCGUUGCGAUGAGACAGCGAUAGUUGCGGUGGCGCGACGGUUAUUAACGGGAAUUCAUUAUUAUUGCAUCUGCAUUUCGCUAAUUGCAUAUCUGAACCUGGUACAGAAAUUCGCGCAGCAUAUACGAUGGUUUUCGAUAUCACGGAUAAAUGAUCAUAGAAAGAAGACGGCAGAAUGUUCAUUAAUCAAUGCUCAUAAUCCGAUCAGUAAUUUCUUCUAUCUCUCCAAAUUUUCAAAAGAGAAAAAAAAAAAAAGAAAAAUAAUAAAAAAAACUUAUUUGCCGAAAAAAAUCGCGAUACUUCCAAUGCACGGUACGUGCCAAUGCAUAUGUCUAUCGUAACGUUUAAAAGAAAAAUACCCGAAUAUAAAGUUCGAUAAGCGACAUCGAAAGGUAAUAAUUGUUUUCUUUCCUUUUUUUUUGCCUUUCUUUUUUAGAUGUAUCCGCGGUAUCGAAAGUGUGUCCUCGGAAGGACCGUCGGUAUAAUUUUCCGAUACGCCAUUAAACGUUUAAGGCCACCCGAGAUUCCCCUAUGCAAUCUCUAUGUGAAGAGGAGACCGUACAUUGCGGCAACGUCGUUUUCUUUCGGAGACAGCAGAAGCGGCGAUUCAAUUAGGCAAAGCGGCAAUCUUAAUUGUUAAUUAACAUUAUAUUUAUGCAAUUAUGGUCCAUUAUGAUUCUACAGGGCCGAUAACGAAGCGGUCGCGAUGAGUGCUCCUGAGAUAGUGGACUCAUCCGAGGCCUACCAACUACCUCUUGCCUCCUCAUCAUCCUUUCGCCAUGGAAGGAUACGCUCUAAGCGAGGCAGGUAUAACGCCGAGUCUGUAACUACCAUGAAUGGCGAGCGGACGAGAUAUCACCUCGCCAAAAUGCAUUUCGAAGCUUGUAUGGGAUAAAUGGGCUCCUCCUCGUCGACGAACGGACAGCAAAGAAGAAAGAGGAAAGGGCGAGAGUAGAUAAAGAAAAGAAACAAGAACGCAAUGAAGAGAGGGAGAGAGAAAGAAAAAGCGAAGAUGGUAUCGGUCCAGUAACGAACACACAACACAGAACACCCGGGUGCUCCUUCGCGAGAUGGUGCGAGGAAACGAUUCGCCACGAUGUGUUUCUCGUCUCUCCUUCUCGCCUUCGACGUUAUAUACAAUGUGUUCUCUAUAUCCGACGGUUUUGUUGCUCCCCCGACCAAUAACGACGUAGUUACCACGACGUAGCACGAGCCCUCUCUCGUGCAUAUGUUACUCUAUAUAUCGUGUGAGAACAACACCACGAAUAUCCUUCGUCCACCGAUAUAAGACUUUGCAGAAAUUAUAAGAAAUAACGUUUAUUAAAAUAAAAAAGACGUAGC
Molecule: unclassified non-coding RNA, 1729 nt
Filed under: Acromyrmex echinatior (Panamanian leafcutter ant)
Lineage: Eukaryota; Metazoa; Arthropoda; Insecta; Hymenoptera; Formicidae
Description: apoptotic chromatin condensation inducer in the nucleus-like, transcript variant X2
Source: RNAcentral